GUACACUCCUACGGGAGGCAGCAGUGGGGAAUUUUGGACAAUGGGCGAAAGCCUGAUCCAGCCAUGCCGCGUGCAGGAUGAAGGCCUUCGGGUUGUAAACUGCUUUUGUACGGAACGAAACGGCCUUUUCUAAUAAAGAGGGCUAAUGACGGUACCGUAAGAAUAAGCACCGGCUAACUACGUGCCAGCAGCCGCGGUAAUACGUAGGGUGCAAGCGUUAAUCGGAAUUACUGGGCGUAAAGCGUGCGCAGGCGGUUAUGUAAGACAGUUGUGAAAUCCCCGGGCUCAACCUGGGAACUGCAUCUGUGACUGCAUAGCUAGAGUACGGUAGAGGGGGAUGGAAUUCCGCGUGUAGCAGUGAAAUGCGUAGAUAUGCGGAGGAACACCGAUGGCGAAGGCAAUCCCCUGGACCUGUACUGACGCUCAUGCACGAAAGCGUGGGGAGCAAACAGGAUUAGAAACCCCAGUAGUCCC
This 474-nucleotide ribosomal RNA is filed under the name uncultured organism. RNAcentral's name for it is "partial 16S ribosomal RNA". It matches the Rfam family "Bacterial small subunit ribosomal RNA", at positions 331 to 797 of the family's 1533-position model. The record is from RNAcentral.